AUCUUUGUAAGAUCACCUGCUAAAUAUGAAAAUCUGACUUGAAUUUGUACUAUUUAAUAUUGCGUAUCUGCUCUAGUGGGCAGGACCUAGGGCUUAAAGGGGAACUUCCUUUCUCCAGUUCUAGGAACUGGGACUCUAAAAUGAGAAGCUGGUUGUCUGAAGUAACCCUGCAGGUGUGGUUGGGGAAGGUCUGUUUUUUUGGAUGAAGGAACUAAACUAAGCAAAUCAGCACUGUCUUAACCAUUAUUUAUUUACCUGGAGAUAGAAUUCUUUUAAAAAGAGUUAGGGAGCUGGUAAUAGCAAGUGCCUUUCAUUAUAACCACAUUUUGCAGAGCUUCAUAUUUAUAUACAAGCCUCCUAGGUGAUACACUAUUAGCUUGCAGACUUUCCUAUGCUUCAUUUCUCCUGUUGCUUUCGAAGAAGGCAGGAGACAUGUUUAAUAACGGAGUAUCUGGUGAUAAGAACUGCUUGGGCAAACCAGCUCAUCUGGACUGUUUCUCGAUCUUGGAAAUGGGAAGAGGAAAACUUGUUUCCUUCCUGCUGCUUAAGGAUAUUCUGAGGGUACACUGAUCAAUAACACUAAAUUUGGAAUGAAAAUACCAUGUGAUGAGUUUAGCCUGCUGAUGCUUCCAGUAGAUCCUUGUAUAGUUUCAAUAUUUAAGUUUUCUGAUUUCAUAUAAAUUUCUUAAAGUCAAGGAUCUUAUAAAGGUGCAGUGGAUGUUUGCUAAAUAUGAAAAACUUACUUGAAUUUGCACUCUUUAAUGUUGCGUAUCUGCUCUAGUGGGCCGGACCUAGGGCUUAAAGGGGAACUUCCUUUCUCUAAUUCUAGGAACUGGGACUCUAAAAUGAGAAGCUGGUUGUCUGAAGUAACCCUGCAGGUGUGGUUGGGGAAGGCCUGUUUUCUUGGAUGAAGGGACUAAACUAAGCAAAUCACUAGAAGUAUGCCCUGUCCCCUGCUCAGAACAUUGGGGAGCUCAAGAGUGGGCUGCAAUGUGCACCCCUCAGGAAUAGCUGUGAAUUGCAGUUCUACUGGCUUUUGGCUUUUUGUCUUUUGCUGCAAGGCACCCACGUACUUAACCAUUCUCAACAGUGUAAAUCAGUGUCAUUUUAGAAUGAGAUACUCAGCUUGCUUCUAAAGUCACUGAAUACUGAGUGAGUCUCUCCUUUAGAGUCUUCGGCAACCAAAUUCCAGAAUUGAAGAGUCUACUACUCAGAGGCAACAAGAUUAAAAAAAGAAAACACAAAAACUGUUGAGGUGAAAAAAAAAAAACCCUCACUGGGAACACAGAGAAUGUUUUGUAAGAUCACUGGGAUAUUUUCCACAACUUCCUCUUCUCUUGCACACACAUCUGUUGAUAGGAAAUAUUUGAGGGUUUUUCCACUAUCAAAUGGGAGCUUCAUGGUCCUGGUGCCAAACACUAUAAACCUUUGACCAGCUGAGCUGUGACUGCCGUCACAUAUCUGAGUCCUGUGUGCACAUUAAUAUCCUGGAUCAGGUAGAAUCCAGGUCUUCAAGUUUUAAGGAUUUUUGAAGAAUUCAGGCUUCUUUAAGACGAUCCAUGCCCAAAUCCACAAGCUUGUUGACAGUGGAUUACAGUUUGUGUGGCAAAGUCCGAGUUGUUACACUGUGCUUUAAAAAAAAAAAUCUUAUCUGCAUGUAUUGUUAACGUAGAGACUGUGAGAUCUAUUUAUCAGGACCAGGAAGAUAAACACUUCAGGUCCAUUGCAACUGACUUUUUUCUUGUUUUUCUCAAAACCUGGUGGACCCCAGGAAGGGAGCCUCCACAAUUCUGUGGCUUUGAUAUUGGCUCCAAUUCUCACAAGCACAUACAAGCCCCAUAAUUGCCGCAGGAAAACACAAGAUGGAAAAUUGCAAUAACCCAUGCACUGAGACUUAGAAAAUCAUCCUUACUAGGUAAAAUGUAUUAUGAUGCAAUAAGGGCCAACUGAUAUUUCUCACGUUGGGACUGGCCAGGAACUGCUGCAAAGAAAAAAAAACAGCUCCUUCUCCAUUAUUUACAUUUUAAGAUGUGGUGGGGGGAGAUUGGGAGAAAUUAAUUCUGAGGUUAUCAUAUGCAUUUUUUAAAAGAUAAUGGAAUAAAGCUAUUUUUAAGUAA
Macaca fascicularis (crab-eating macaque) is the source of this 2117-nucleotide long non-coding RNA. The record is from Ensembl. NCBI's taxonomy places the organism in Eukaryota, Metazoa, Chordata, Mammalia, Primates, Cercopithecidae.